Molecule: small RNA, 378 nt
Filed under: Histoplasma capsulatum var. duboisii H88
Lineage: Eukaryota; Fungi; Ascomycota; Eurotiomycetes; Onygenales; Ajellomycetaceae
Description: Histoplasma capsulatum H88 hypothetical RNA
Source: RNAcentral
GCCACUAGAGAGUAUGAUAACAACCAACCAUGUUCAAUCUGUCUUGAAAGAACCUCCUUGCAAUGCUCUGCGCGCAUGAACGGAAAGUGGAUUGGAGAGUUCUGUUUUUCACCGAGUUGCCAAGUUCUAAUUCGAUUUCGAUAACAUCAGGUAACUAUCAAAUUGCACUAUCCGAAUGCUUUGUAAGAAUGAGAUUUGAUGUAUUUAAUAUAUUCACCCAUUCAAAAAGUUUGGUUUGAGGGUGCAGCAGUAGCAAUAUUGUAUCAUCAUCUUUUUUUUAAUAGUUAACAUACAUCUCAUUAAAUAUCAAAAUAUGCCGUCCAAUAACUUCAAUAAUCAAUCUACUGCUGCUUUGUUCAAACAGCAGCAUCUUGAGAA